GGCUCAGGACGAACGCUGGCGGCGUGCUAACACAUGCAAGUCGAGCGAUGAAGCUUCUUCGGAAGUGGAUUAGCGGCGGACGGGUGAGUAACACGUGGGUAACCUGCCUCAUAGAGGGGAAUAGCCUUCCGAAAGGAAGAUUAAUACCGCAUAAGAUUGUAAUAUCGCAUGAUAUAGCAAUUAAAGGAGUAAUCCGCUAUGAGAUGGACCCGCGUCGCAUUAGCUAGUUGGUGAGGUAACGGCUCACCAAGGCGACGAUGCGUAGCCGACCUGAGAGGGUGAUCGGCCACAUUGGGACUGAGACACGGCCCAGACUCCUACGGGAGGCAGCAGUGGGGAAUAUUGCACAAGUGGGGGAAACCCUGAUGCAGACCAACGCCGCGUGAGUGAUGACGGUCUUCGGAUUGUAAAGCUCUGUCUUCGAGGGACGAUAAUGACGGUACCUGAGGAGGAAGCCACGGCUAACUACGUGCCAGCCGCUGC
This 483-nucleotide ribosomal RNA is filed under the name uncultured bacterium. Its description in RNAcentral is "bacterial SSU rRNA". It matches the Rfam family "Bacterial small subunit ribosomal RNA", at positions 21 to 518 of the family's 1533-position model. The record is from RNAcentral.